RNAcentral lists this ribosomal RNA (425 nucleotides) under uncultured bacterium. RNAcentral describes it as "partial 16S ribosomal RNA". It matches the Rfam family "Bacterial small subunit ribosomal RNA", at positions 354 to 796 of the family's 1533-position model. The record is from RNAcentral.
GUGGGGAAUCUUGCGCAAUGGGCGAAAGCCUGACGCAGCCAUGCCGCGUGGAUGAUGAAGGUCUUAGGAUUGUAAAAUCCUUUCACCGGUGAAGAUAAUGACGGUAACCGGAGAAGAAGCCCCGGCUAACUUCGUGCCAGCAGCCGCGGUAAUACGAAGGGGGCUAGCGUUGUUCGGAAUUACUGGGCGUAAAGCGCACGUAGGCGGACAUUUAAGUCAGGGGUGAAAUCCCGGGGCUCAACCCCGGAACUGCCUUUGAUACUGGGUGUCUGGAGUAUGGAAGAGGUAAGUGGAAUUCCGAGUGUAGAGGUGAAAUUCGUAGAUAUUCGGAGGAACACCAGUGGCGAAGGCGGCUUACUGGUCCAUUACUGACGCUGAGGUGCGAAAGCGUGGGGAGCAAACAGGAUUAGAUACCACUGUAGUCC